AGAGUUUGAUCCUGGCUCAGGAUGAACGCUGGCGGCGUGCUUAACACAUGCAAGUCGAACGGGGAUGCUUAUGGAAGGAGUGCUUGCACUUUGGAAAUGACUAUCUUAGUGGCGGACGGGUGAUUAACGCGUGGGUAACCUGCCCCAUACCGGGGGAUACCACCUGAAAACAGGUGCUAAUACCGCAUAAGCGCACGGGAGCGCAUGCUCCUGUGUGAAAAACUCCGGUGGUAUGGGAUGGACCCGCGUCUGAUUAGCCAGUUGGCAGGGUAAUGGCCUACCAAAGCGACGAUCAGUAGCCGGCCUGAGAGGGUGGACGGCCACAUUGGGACUGAGACACGGCCCAAACUCCUACGGGAGGCAGCAGUGGGGAAUAUUGCACAAUGGGGGAAACCCUGAUGCAGCGACGCCGCGUGAGUGAAGAAGUAUUUCGGUAUGUAAAGCUCUAUCAGCAGGAACGAGACAAGACGGUACCUGACUAAGAAGCCCCGGCUAACUACGUGCCAGCAGCCGCGGUAAUACGUAGGGGGCAAGCGUUAUCCGGAAUCACUGGGUGUAAAGGGAGCGUAGACGGCUGAGCAAGCCUGAAGUGAAAGGCGGGGGCCCAACCCCCGGACUGCUUUGGGAACUGUACGGCUGGAGUGCAGGAGAGGUAAGUGGAAUUCCUAGUGUAGCGGUGAAAUGCGUAGAUAUUAGGAGGAACACCAGUGGCGAAGGCGGCUUACUGGACUGUAACUGACGUUGAGGCUCGAAAGCGUGGGGAGCAAACAGGAUUAGAUACCCUGGUAGUCCACGCCGUAAA
Molecule: ribosomal RNA, 802 nt
Filed under: uncultured bacterium
Lineage: Bacteria
Description: bacterial SSU rRNA
Rfam family: Bacterial small subunit ribosomal RNA
Source: RNAcentral